Armigeres subalbatus is the source of this 688-nucleotide long non-coding RNA. RefSeq lists it as uncharacterized. The transcript is spliced from 4 exons. The record is from RefSeq and is a predicted model, not a curated record. NCBI's taxonomy places the organism in Eukaryota, Metazoa, Arthropoda, Insecta, Diptera, Culicidae.
GCAUCGACAAGCCGUCGUGAAGAUAGGACAGAAGAGUCUGCUGAGGCCGGUGACAAGGCUGGCGUUACUAGACUUGGAGGAAAAACGUGAAGUUCCGGAAGGUUCCGGACUACACCCGGGGGAGACUGUUGACGCAGAAAUGGUGAACUGGCCACCCUGCCACCGUCGUUUUUAAAGCGGCGCCGAACCUGUCAAAGCGGUGCGUUGUUCGAAGUGACAGACGUCAACGAGUGACGGACGACCUGUCAAAAACCAUUUCCGGCCCUUCAUUCUUUUUACAGUUCGCAGUAAAACAAAGUGCAGCUCGCGUGUGGAAAAUAAAACCUUAACUAAAAAUAGGAUAGCAGUAGUGCAUAAGUAGUUUAUAGUGAAUAGUGUGUAUUUGAGCCAUAUUCACACAGUGAAAGUUAAAUACGUUGAGUUUGAGACGAGUUUAUUAACUCAACCAAUUGAGUCCAGAGCAUAGUUCGUUGUCCGAGUCCGCCGCCAGUCCGUUGAUCCGUAGAUACCUGAAAAGAGAAAGAAAAGUCUUGUCUCACGUGGACGUAAAAUCGAACCGUAGGGUGCGCAAACAAAGGGCACACCGAAUUUUGAAGCAACAACAACAACAACAACAACACCAAUAAUAAUAACAACAGAAUACAAAUAUCGUUCGCUAUCAAAACGGCUCGCCUAAUUAUUUGACCCU